RNAcentral lists this transfer RNA (67 nucleotides) under Marmota monax (woodchuck). RNAcentral describes it as "tRNA.Ala". The record is from RNAcentral. Lineage: Eukaryota; Metazoa; Chordata; Mammalia; Rodentia; Sciuridae.
GGUCAUGGCUCAAUGGUAGAGUGCUCGCCUAGCAUGCAUGAGGCACUGGGUUCAAUACUCAGCACCA